RNAcentral lists this ribosomal RNA (292 nucleotides) under uncultured bacterium. RNAcentral describes it as "partial 16S ribosomal RNA". It matches the Rfam family "Bacterial small subunit ribosomal RNA", at positions 505 to 796 of the family's 1533-position model. The record is from RNAcentral.
GUGUCAGCAGCCGCGGUAAUACGGAGGGUGCAAGCGUUGUCCGGAUUUAUUGGGUUUAAAGGGUGCGUAGGCGGCUAUUUAAGUCAGUGGUGAAAUCCAACAGCUUAACUGUUGAACUGCCAUUGAUACUGGAUGGCUUGAGUACAGACGAGGUAGGCGGAAUUUAUGGUGUAGCGGUGAAAUGCAUAGAUACCAUAAAGAACACCGAUUGCGAAGGCAGCUUACUAGGCUGUAACUGACGCUGAGGCACGAAAGUGUGGGGAUCAAACAGGAUUAGAUACCCUUGUAGUCC